RNAcentral lists this ribosomal RNA (1351 nucleotides) under Microbacterium sp. XB35. RNAcentral describes it as "bacterial SSU rRNA". It matches the Rfam family "Bacterial small subunit ribosomal RNA", at positions 71 to 1434 of the family's 1533-position model. Lineage: Bacteria; Bacillati; Actinomycetota; Actinomycetes; Micrococcales; Microbacteriaceae. The record is from RNAcentral.
UAGCCAACCUUGCUUGGUGGAUCAGUGGCGAACGGGUGAGUAACACGUGAGCAACCUGCCCUGGACUCUGGGAUAAGCGCUGGAAACGGCGUCUAAUACUGGAUAUGAGACGUGAUCAAAUGGUCGUGUUUGGAAAGAUUUUUCGGUCUGGGAUGGGCUCGCGGCCUAUCAGCUUGUUGGUGAGGUAAUGGCUCACCAAGGCGUCGACGGGUAGCCGGCCUGAGAGGGUGACCGGCCACACUGGGACUGAGACACGGCCCAGACUCCUACGGGAGGCAGCAGUGGGGAAUAUUGCACAAUGGGCGGAAGCCUGAUGCAGCAACGCCGCGUGAGGGAUGACGGCCUUCGGGUUGUAAACCUCUUUUAGCAGGGAAGAAGCGAAAGUGACGGUACCUGCAGAAAAAGCGCCGGCUAACUACGUGCCAGCAGCCGCGGUAAUACGUAGGGCGCAAGCGUUAUCCGGAAUUAUUGGGCGUAAAGAGCUCGUAGGCGGUUUGUCGCGUCUGCUGUGAAAUCCCGAGGCUCAACCUCGGGCCUGCAGUGGGUACGGGCAGACUAGAGUGCGGUAGGGGAGAUUGGAAUUCCUGGUGUAGCGGUGGAAUGCGCAGAUAUCAGGAGGAACACCGAUGGCGAAGGCAGAUCUCUGGGCCGUAACUGACGCUGAGGAGCGAAAGGGUGGGGAGCAAACAGGCUUAGAUACCCUGGUAGUCCACCCCGUAAACGUUGGGAACUAGUUGUGGGGACCAUUCCACGGUUUCCGUGACGCAGCUAACGCAUUAAGUUCCCCGCCUGGGGAGUACGGCCGCAAGGCUAAAACUCAAAGGAAUUGACGGGGACCCGCACAAGCGGCGGAGCAUGCGGAUUAAUUCGAUGCAACGCGAAGAACCUUACCAAGGCUUGACAUAUACGAGAACGGGCCAGAAAUGGUCAACUCUUUGGACACUCGUAAACAGGUGGUGCAUGGUUGUCGUCAGCUCGUGUCGUGAGAUGUUGGGUUAAGUCCCGCAACGAGCGCAACCCUCGUUCUAUGUUGCCAGCACGUAAUGGUGGGAACUCAUGGGAUACUGCCGGGGUCAACUCGGAGGAAGGUGGGGAUGACGUCAAAUCAUCAUGCCCCUUAUGUCUUGGGCUUCACGCAUGCUACAAUGGCCGGUACAAAGGGCUGCAAUACCGUGAGGUGGAGCGAAUCCCAAAAAGCCGGUCCCAGUUCGGAUUGAGGUCUGCAACUCGACCUCAUGAAGUCGGAGUCGCUAGUAAUCGCAGAUCAGCAACGCUGCGGUGAAUACGUUCCCGGGUCUUGUACACACCGCCCGUCAAGUCAUGAAAGUCGGUAACACCUGAAGCCGGUGGC